Molecule: long non-coding RNA, 14986 nt
Filed under: Equus caballus (horse)
Lineage: Eukaryota; Metazoa; Chordata; Mammalia; Perissodactyla; Equidae
Description: lncRNA (ENSECAG00000056135.1)
Source: RNAcentral
AUCGCCAGUGACCAGCACAAUGACGACACAUAGUCAGCCUCUAGAAGGGCUCGUUGACCAAAGUGUGUUGCCGAUGCCUCACAGAGCAGUGUCCAGGGCUGUGCGAACCCCUCCCAGGGGCAAGGCCUCAGGCAGAGUGGAGAGGGCGGGGCCCCUUCAGAGCCGCUCCCGGCUCCUCCCUUCUCAUCAGUUCAUUGCAGAGGAGACAGAUCCUCAUCACCAGAGGGGACACGCGGAAGCCAUACAGGACACCACCCCUGAAGUGUUACAAACACCCUGCCUGGCCUUCCUAAGUCCUGCAGCCCUGGCCUGGGGACUCCCAGAAACACAAAGACCAGGGAGCGGCUGUGCUCACCAGCCCAGGGCUCACGCCGACGUGCUCUGGAGAACAAACUGCGCUGGUUUGGUGACCGAGGUGGGGAAGGAACCUGGCAGGGUGGGUGGCAGCGGGGAGGAACAGGACUGAAGCCACUUGUCCCUGUUUGCUCAUGGAUGAGCCAGAAACCCUCUGAACUUACUGGAAGGCUCCUGGGACCUUGUUUUCCUGAAACGGUACAAAAACAGGUUGGACCUCUCCAAUGUUUACUUGAGGACGUAAUUACUUAAGUACGAGCUGGGUUGCCUGGCAGGCUGGCAGAGGUAAAGGUGGGGCAGAGGCAUCUGCUGCUCACCUGGGCCUGAGAAGUCCUAGGAGGUGCGCGGCCCAACCCAGGACAGAGCAACCCGGAAGAGACUGAGUUGCGGCUGGAAGAGUCCUGGCGGCGGAGUAGGACAGAGUUGGUAGGAAUGCUGUGUGGCUCUGAGCAACUUACUUAACCUCUCUGAACUGCUGUCUUCAUCUGCUAAGUGGAAAUAGCAAUACUUCCCUUGCUAGGUGGUUGGAGGAUUGGCAGUGGUUGCCUGGCAGCCAGCAUUCAGGCAGAGGCUGUUGUUAGUAACAAAGUCCUCAUCUGGUGUUCUGGAGGCCCAGCCACCACCCUCAGUCUCCUUCACAAAUCGAUUCUAUCCCAGCAUGUACUCUCACUGCCGUGCGGCGGUUCCCCCCAGCCUCGCUGCUCCCAGACCUGAACAGCACUGCUUCAAGGCAUCAGGCGAUGUGGGUUGGCUGACACGAAAUGGCCACUGAGGCUGUGGAAACACUCGUAGGUGCUGGGAAAGGGUUCUCCCAGUUCAGCUCUGCCUUGUCAUGACUCAGCUUCCCUCUGCUCUUGUCUUCCUAAGCUCCCAAGGAGCCGCGUUUCUGCCCUGUGCCCUGAGGGCGUCUGGCUGCCUCUUUCAUCGGUCUCUCAUGACCGUCAAGGCUUUGCCGCUUGGCCCCAGUGCUGUGGCUUGGAAAGAAAUACAGACCUUGGUGCACUGAAAUUCCUGGUGAGGCUCAGGGCCACGCAGACGGCCCUGAGCAUGUUCAAAUGUGUUUUUAGGUUAACAUCAAAAUGACAGCACCCCAUUUUUAAAUUUUCAAGAAGAUGCUGCUCCCAGUCUGAGAAAGUCUGGACGGGGGUCACCAGGACCUGGCGCAGUCCCCCCAGCCUCUUCCUCACGUGUGACGCCUCUUGUUGCUGACCCUCCGGGCUCACAGGAGGAGCGGUGGGUGUGGACCCAGAGCCCUCAGCGGUGGCUGGAGGUGGACCGCACACAGCGGCUGGAAGCUUUCCUCCUCCCUGUCUCCAAGCCCUUCACAAUGACAUUGCAGCUCCCUCCUCAAGGGGCGGGGCGCCUGUUCCCUGCCCUUGAUCCAGGUGCGCCUGAGGCUUGCUCUGACCAGAGAACGCAGUGGACGUGAGGGUGCCGGGUCUGAGCCAGGCCCCUGAGGCUGGUGGGCUUUCCCUCUCUCAUUCGCCCCUCAAUUCCUCCCUUUAAACCCAGAGUCCUUGGUUUUGGGAAGGUGGCUCAGGUCCAGAGCUCCUCCCACGAGGGGAAAGCACCCUGGCACCGUGUCGAGUGGAGAGAAGGUACAGAGCGGGGAGAGACACAGGAAGUCUGCAGGCCUCCUGUCCCCAGGGGGGAAAGGAUGCAGAGGCUGACCGUGCCUGCCUCCUCGUUGAAGAAACUCCAGCAAGCUGGGAGACUGAAAUUACCUGCUGGCCUCAGCGAAGCCCCAGGACAAGGACAGCGUGCCUUGUCCCCUGCAUGAUGGCCGGGCAGGGAAGGCUCCUCUGGUAGCAGCUGCUGUCAAACUGUGUCAUUCUGCAGAAGGGACACUCCAAGCUCAUAGAUGCUAUGCCACGUCCUCAAGCCAAGAGGAAGCAAAGGGCGGGCUGGGGCCAGCUCCCGACCAGACGUUCUCAGCCUCUAUCAGGACAUGUGCGGCCCUGCCUCCCACUGCUCCCUACAAAAUCCAGAUCCGCUCACAUCUGAGAUUCUCUCCUAAGGGUGGAGCUCCGUGAGAGCUGCAGUCAAGUCUGCUUCACUUCUCCAUGUUCCUGGUGUCCAGCACUCCGUCUGGCCAGAGGAGGAGCCGGGGGGGGCUCUGAGGGAGCUUUCCCGACUCCCUCCCACCGAGUGCAGGCUCAAAGUCUUCUGUCGCAGCAUGUGUACCUCUCUCAGGCAGUACUUUAAGCAUGUGUAUAAGUGAGUAUUCAUAUACAUAUGUGAAUAUUCCUAUGUAUGUGUGUGUGUGUGCGCACGCCCAUCUUUGUCUACUGGAUUGUGAGUUCCUUCAUGACAUGGGCUGUGAGAUAGAUGCUAGAGAGAUAGAUAGAUAGAUAGAUAGAUAGAUAGACAGAUAGACAGACAGUGGGUAGGUAGAUGGAUAGGUGAGUGGGAGGAUAGACGGAUGUAUAGGUAGACAGACCCAACCCUCCAUCCCCUCUGACUGGGAGGGUGAUUUAUUCGUAACGGUCUCAGCUACUGUGGGAGGCAGGCAGGCAGGCAGAAUCCAGGACAAUCCUUGUCCCGAGGAGAACAGAGGAGCUGGGGGAAGACACUACGCAGCGAAGGCUCAGGGCUUGAAACUAGAGGGCCCAAUGUGUUCUUUGCCAUUCAGUUUCUCUGAGCUUACGUUGUCCUCUCUGUAAAAAGCAAAUGAUAACAGCAGGGUCUGCCUCUCGGGGAUAAAUGGAGCAUCAGCAUAAAAGAAUAUGCUUCAGAGGAACACAGAGUGGACAGGCCCCGGGCCUUGAAUCAGGCAGAGACGCUCAGGUACCACUGGAUGCGGAGGAAACUGCUUGACCCCCCCUAAGCCUCAGCUGCAAACUUGGGAGAGGAAGUUGCCCCUUGUCGGGGGUCUGUGACUGUGAAACAAGGCUCCGUAUGUGGAAGCAGGCGCUCAGCAGCGAUGGCCACCAAUGCUGCUGCUGUCAGUAACCUACUUCAGAAGGCCUGGCCCCGACCACUCGCAGUUUGCAAGGUCAGAGAGAUGCUGUGGAAACACCAGAGCGUGCAGGGCGCAGAGAAGGCGUAUGGUGACAAAGGCUCCCACAGGAGAAUGCGGGGCUCAGGGAGGACCGGAGUCAAGGAGAGCCCCUUAGAGGAGGUGGAGAGGCCGUGGGAGGAGAACCCUCCUCCCCAGACUCCCGAUAAAGGAGAGGUGUGGGAGGAGAGGUGUUGGCAAGGCGAGAAGAAGAGAGAUGUUUUAAAAACAAAAAAAAUGACAGUUCUUGGGGAAUUGCCAAUAUUUACUAACCUGUGGGCAUCUUCCCCCAGGAAGGGGCUGGGGGCCGGGCUGCUGGAGACAGCUGCUCACACAAACAGCGGAGGGACCUGGCUUCAGCUGUGCGUGUAGACCUGGACUGGGAACCGGAUCCACAUGAUGGUGGGAAAAAACAGUCUGGGGGCUCCGCUGCCCUGGGCAGCUCAAAGCUGGCACAGAGAGCCGGGAGGCCCGGGGUCCCGGGUUCUCCCGUCUAGUUGGGCCUCUGGUUCCUGCCGGCCUGAGAUAAUUGGCUUCUCUCUGCCCACCUGUCCAGGUUGGGAGCGCCCAGCUCCACCUCCUGUCCUUGUGUUGGGAGCGACUGUCCUGUCUGCUCGGCCCUCUCAGAGAAACUGGCCACCCUCAGUCCCUCUACCAAAGCCUCCAGGGCUUGAGGAGAGGCUGGUCCUCCUCACCCACAUUCCCUGGCCCGUGGGCCAGAGUUGAAGGGACCAGGGAGGGCCUGACCCAGGCAGCUGGUCCAAAGGUGGCCGGUACCCAACAGUGGCCAAUUAGAUGCUCUUUUCCAUGGAUCUGAACUUGGAAAGAAUUUUCAAGGUCUCAGAGGACAUGAAAGGAGUGGCUGCCUGUGCAGCAAAGGGCUGAGUGCGGGGGCAGGGGGGCUUGCAGAGGCUUUCUAUGGUAGAAAAGAGAGUGGAAGACGAAGAGGUGCUGAAGGAGGCAGGAAGGAAGGCGAGGAGGAGAAAGAGAGAGACCAACCACCCUAAAAUCCCCCCAGAGGGUCCCAGUAUCAGUCCCCACAAAUGCUUCCACUAAAUCCUAUGCUUCUUUUAUUUAUGGACUUUAUUUUUUUUCAUUUUUUUGGUGAGGAAGAUUGUCCCUGAGUUAACAUCUGUUGCCAAUCUUCCUCUUUUUUUUUUCCUCCCCAAAGCCCCAGUGCAUAAUUGUAUAUCCUAGUUGCAAGUCAUUCUAGCUUUUCUGUUUGGGAUGCCACCACAGCAUGGCUUGAUGAGUGGCAUGUAGGUCCAUGCCCAGGAUCCGAACUGGCAAACCCUGGGCUGUCAAAGCAAAGCAUGUAACCUUAACCACUUGGCCAUGGGGCCGGCCCCUGGACUUUAUUUUUUUAGCCUUUUGUAUUUUGAAAUAUAUAGAGAAAUACACAUAAAAAAAUAACCAUAGAGCUUAACAAACUAUCAGUGAGCUAAAGUAUAGGCCAGUUCGAGAAUCGGGAUUACAGCUCUUCUAAAGCUCUUUCUCUCUCCACCUCCUUCCCCCCAAAGUUGGCCAGAAUCAGGACUCAUGGCUUUUCUUCAUAAUCUUAUACAGCCAGCUAAGCAUGUGACCUUAAAGACUAUGGUUUAAUUUUGCCAGCUUUUAAACUUGACGUAAAUGGAACAUACCUACGUGUUCUUUUGAGUUCAGCUUCUCCCAUUUAAUGUAACAGUUUUUGAGAUUGAAUCACAUGUUGCCUGUAGUUUAGAUCACCGGUUCUCAGUGCUGUAGAUUACUGCAUGGUACACCACACUGCUAUGGUCGCAUCCAUUCUGCUAUGGGCAGACACAAAUAACUCUCCCCGGCCUGCCACCUGUGUCCUUUAGGUGUCCUGAGAAGACCUCUGAUUUUUACCACCAAUAAGCAACUUGAACAUGGGGAAACAGCACUCGACUUGAAAAUGGGGAAAUCCAGAGAAAUCUGAGUCCUUAUUAGGGACUGGAUCCUGGACCUCUCAGAGAACAGAGGUUCAGAUUCAUUUCACUUUCUGGGCCAAGAAAUCAACACAGAUUUUUUUGAGCAUACAGCGUCUGAAAGGAAAGGAGGGCAGGCCCCGAUGCGCAGGAGGCCACGGAAUACGGUGCCUCCGGCUCUGGGAGCGGAGAGGACUGCCAGGAGGAAGCAGUCUUUGGGAUGGUCUGAGAAGGAGAAUUCGUUCAGAGUAAACUGGAAAUUAUUUGAUUCAGUCUUUUGUACAGAAACCCUCCCAACGUCUGAGUCUCCUGGCUUCCUUGUCUCCCUAAGCCAGGUGGGCAUGGGGACCUCCUCCAUCCCCGUCCAAAGUAGCACCUGGCUCACACCUGUGUGGACGUUGAAACACACUGUCUGAACCUGGAGAGCAAUGGGGACCAGUAGGAGGGGAUUGCACAGGACAGGAGCUUGUCACAGAGCAGCCUCAGGAUGGAAGGAGAUGUACGAAACAAACAAGUGACCCAACUUCCCAUAACAGCAGGAGUUCUUGUGCAUGGGCACCUGGGCAUCGGGCUUCCAGUGACGGGAACCAGAGCGUGGUCCAGGUAGGUCACGGCCCCUGAGGCUGGGCUCUGCUGAUGCUGUGUGUGAAUGCGUGGGAUGCGGUCUGUACAUCCACAGGACAGGGACUUGGACAACCCAUGUUACAAGGGGUGGCAUUCCAGCAGGGCCAGAGGGAUCAAUUCAAGACAUGAUCUGGAUGUGGGCCCCACCCCUGACACUGGCUUGUUGAGCAAUGGUUCGCCUCUCUGGGCCUCGGCUCCUCUAUCUGUAAAGUGGGAGCUAGACUAGAUCUGUAGUCAUUCAUCCUCCAAUGUUGUAUGCUUCUGCACAUGCUCCGGGGAGGAGAGGCCCUCAUAAAUGAGAGUGUACACUGGAAGAAGACUGUUACGAUCAGGGCCAGCAUUAUAAACGAGAGCCCUUCUGGAGACCCACUGGCUGGCAAGGGUUUGGUUGGAGACAGCCCGCGUCUCCGUGGCCUGAUCGUAGUCAAGCCCGCAGGUGGCUUUAUUGCUUUAAGGAGACACACACCCAGAUGUGUUGGACACCUUACUGCACAACUUACUCUUUCAUCUCAUCACCAAGAACCUCUUUCCAGGGGAACACGGAUAGCUCAAACUCAUAACCCAUGGAACAGAUAUAAUAGUUCAUCCAACUAGCCCCUGUUAGUGCACAUGCAGGUCAUUUACAGGUUUUUUUUGCAAACAGUGAUGCGACAGACACCCGCGUACACACAUUCUCCCUUACCGCAGUUUUUAAUACACAGGUCAGAUCAUGUCACUGGCCUCCUCCAAGAUAAACACGCACUCCUUACCCUGGGUUUCCAGCAUGACCUGGCCCCGCUGCCCUCUCUGAGCUCACUUUGGAGCACCCUCCCGUGCCCAUUAGCUCCAGUUACGCUGGCCUGGUUGCAGGGCCUUGAACUCAUCAAAGCCAAUCAGCCUUGAGACCGCACAGCUGGUCCCGCCCCUGGAACGCUCUUCCUGGAUCUGCAAGGACUCCUUCCCCACCCACCGUUCAGAGCUCAGGCUGCGGGUCACCUCCUCUGAGGGGCCCUCCUGCUCAGCCAGUUUAAGUGGGCACCCUCACUCUCUAACAUCAUCUCAUGUCAAGUCUCUGCACAGCCUGUUGGGGGUUGAAUUGUGUCCUCUAAAAAGAUAUGUUGAUUUCUUAACUCCCACUACCUGGGGAUGUGACCUUAUUUGGAAGUAGUCUUUGCGGAGGUAGUCAAGUUAAGAUGAAGUCAUACUGGACUAGGAUGAACCUUAAUCCAGUUGCCGACAUCCGUAUAAGAGGAGGGACAUCUGGACAGAGAGACACAGAGAGGAGAAGGCCAGGUGAGACAAAUUGGAGUGACACGUCUACAAGCCAAGAGACGCCAAGGAAUGCUGGCAGCCACCAGAAGCGAGGAGAGAAGCAACAAACAGAUUCUCCCUCAGCCUCCAGAAGGAACUGGCCCUGCCCAAACCUUGAGUUUGGACUUCUGGCUGCCAGAAUUGGGGGGGAAUAUAUCACUGUCAUUUUAAGCCCCCCAGUUUGUGGUAAUUUAUUAUAACAGCCCUAGGAAACUAACACACAGCCUUCAUCCCCACCAGCACACUUCGAGUCUCUUUCUUUCUUUCUUUAUUUGUGGUCUGCUUCUCCCACAAGAACGUCAGCACCAUGAGAGCGGGGGCCUUGUCUGUCCUGUUCAUGGCCACGUCCUCAGUGCCUGACACACUGACGGUUUUUGAAUAAAGUGACAGUUUGUUAAUUUUUGAAGGAUACAGAUUCCUGUAAGUGGAUUGCAGAGUCAAAAUGUAAGUGCGUCUCAAUUCUGAUAGACAGUCAGAUUCCCUUCCCCAAAAUGUAGCUGUUGCCCUCCUCCGGGCAGGACAUAAGAGUGCCCGUUCUCACAUCCUGUUCAGCCCUGGACAGUGUCACCCUGUUUAAUAUUUGCCAUCUGGAGGGUGAACACGGGAUCUCAUUGCAAUUCUAGCUUUCGUUUUCCUGACUACUGGGGAAGGUGACCAUCUUUUCAUAGAGUCAUGUGCCAUUUGCACAUUUCCUGUGAGUUACUUGUUCCUAACAUUUUCCCAUUUUUCUAUUGGCAUGUGUGGCAGGCAGAAUAACGACCCACCUAAACAGUCCACGUCCUGAUCCCCGGAACCUGAAUCUGCAGCCCCAGGAUUGGCUCAGGGAGUCAGCCCCAGGCUACGGACGGACGGGGUGGGAGCAGGAGGCUGCAGGCUGGCUCUGCAAUCUGUUGGAUCACUCACUCUGGGGGAAGCCGUGUCAUGAGCAGCCCCAUGGAGAGGUCUUUGCGGCAAGGAACUGCUGGCUGGUGCCGACAACCACAUGAGUCAGCUCGGAAGUCAAUUCUCCAGCUCCCGCUGAGCCUUGAGAUGACCAUGACUCUGUCCCACAGCUGGACACAACCUGAGAGAUGCCGAGCCAGAACGCCCAGCUAAGCUGCUCCUGAAUUCCUAACCCUCAGAAACUGUGAGAUAACAUUGUGUUGUUUGAAACCAUUAAGUUUUGGAGUAAUUUGUUAUGCAGCAAAAGUAAGAAAUAUCGGAAAUCCUUUUCCUUCACAGUUUUGAAAGCUUUGCUCUAUGGCUAAAGCUCUAGCUCUCCAGCGUUUCUGUUGAGAAAUCCAAAACAAUUCUGAGCCCGAUUCUUUGAACAUGACCCAUUUCCCCUGGAAGUUGUGGCACGUUCUCUUCAGCCCAUCUGUUCUGAGACUGGACAGUCAUUCGUCAUGUUGCGUCUCCAUGUUCCAUUGUGCUGGGCCCCUGGUGGGCUGCUUCAGUGUAGAAAUUCAUUUCUUUCACUUCUGGGACUUUUCUUGAAUUAUUUCAUUGACAAUUUACUCCUCUUCAUUUUCUCUAUUCUCCAUUCCUAGAAUUCUUUUUGUUCAUAUUUUGGAUCCGCUGGACCAGUCCUUAUUUUCUUACUCACUGCCCUCUUUUCCUCUAUUUUCCAUUUCUGUGUUUUUUGUCUUGCUUUCUGGGUCAUUUCUUUAUCCUCCAAUCUUUUAGUAAAGCUUUUUAUUUUCGUUUUUAUUCUGUGUUCUCUUCUUUUGUUGUUUUUACGGAGUGUUCCCUUUUUAUAGCAUCUUGUUCUUAUGUCAAGGAUGCAGUAUCUUCUAUUAUCACUCUAGAAAUAUCAAUACUAGAGUUUUAGGGGAACUUUUUGGUUUGUUUCUUCAAAAGUCUUCUUCCUCUGCAUAGUCACUGUCUUUUCAAGUUGUUUUCUCUUGUUUAUUUUCUUUGAUCUCUCUCCUUCAUGUGGAUGUCUGGCAACCUUGGUUCCUCUGUUGAUAUUUAAGAGUGGAGCACUAAAGAAUUGACUGGAAGCUCUUAGGCUUUAGGGGGUUGAAUUUGUUCCCCUGAGCCUCACCUUGGGUGAUGUGGAUGGACCACUGUGGAUGGACUGUUGGCCCUUGUUCUGGCUGUCCAUCACUGUGUCCAAAGCUUUGUGGCUUCAAACUACAGCACUGGAAUUGCUCACCAGUGUGCCAUCAGGACAGUGCUCAGUGGGGACAGCUCGUUUCUGCCCCAUUCAGCAACAACUGACAUAGCUUGAAGGCUGGGGGAUGAAGGCUUGCUCACUUGUCUGGCAUCUGGGCUGGGGAGACCCAAACAGGUGGAGCUCACACAGCUGGGCCUCCUUGGGCUUUUCUCCAUCUCUGUGUGCUCUCUCCAGCAUGGUGGCUCCAGGGUAGGUACAUUCCCUACAUGUUGGCUCAGGGCUCCCAAAACACUUGCCCAAGAGAAACAGCGAGCCAGGGCAGAAGACGUAUCACUUUUUAUGACCCAGCAUUGGAGGUCAUAUCAUUUCUUUCCCUAAAGCAGUCACAAAGGCCCACCCAGGCUUAAGGGAGGGAGAAUAGACCCCACCUCCUGAUAGGAGAAGUGUCAAAAUUCUGGAAGAGCAUAUGAGACCGGAGAUAUUGUUAUAGCCAUUUUUGAUACAAAGUAUCAUAAUACUUAAGUACACUGUGUGCUAGAAAAUUCGUUGUAUUAGUUCCCUAUUGCUGCCAUAACAAAUAAUCACAAGUUUAGUUCUUUUUUUUUUUUAAACUCUGACUUUAUUUUUAUUUAUUCUUUUUUUUAAGAUUUUUAUUUUUUCCUUUUUCUCCCCAAAGCCCCCCGGUACAUAGUUGUAUAUUCUUCGUUGUGGGUCCUUCUAGUUGUGGCAUGUGGGACGCUGCCUCAACGUGGUUUGAUGAGCAGUGCCAUGUCCGCGCCCAGGAUUCGAACCAACAAAACACUGGGCCACCUGCAGCGGAGCGCGUGAACUUAACCACUUAGCCACGGGGCCAACCCCUCUUUUUUUAUUUUUUAAAGAUUUUAUUUUUUCCUUUUUCUCCCCAAAGCCCCCCGGUACAUAGUUGUAUAUUCUUCGUUGUGGGUCCUUCUAGUUGUGGCAUGUGGGACGCUGCCUCAGCGUGGUUUGAUGAGCAGUGCCAUGUCUGUGCCCAGGAUUCAAACCAACGAAACACUGGGCCGCCUGCAGCGGGGUGCACGAACUUAACCACUCAGCCAUGGGGCCAGCCCCUAGUUCUUUAAAAACCACAAAUUUAUUGUUGUACAGUUCUGGACUUCAGAACUCCAAAAUGGAUCAGAAGUCCAGUGGGCCAAAUCAAGGGCUUGGCGGAGCCACACUCCCUCUCGAGGCUGCAGGGGAGAAUCCAUUUCCUUGUCUUUUCCUGCUUCUAGAAGCCGCCUACCUUCCUUGGCUUGUGGCCCCUUCCUCCAUCUUCACAGCACAUCACUCCAACCUUUUCUUCCAUUGUCACCUGCAAAGUCCAUUUUGCCCUGUAAGGUCCCAUACUCACAGAUUCUGUGGACUAGGAUGUGGACAUCUUUGGGGGGACAUUAUUCUGUAUACCAUAAUCAUGCACGUGGAGCCACUCAUUGCCUAGUGAUUUUGCAGUUAAUCAAUUAGUGAUUCGUGCGUAUCUUUCACACCUGGCAGAGUGCUCCAGUGGACACAAGCACCCUUCAUCCUUAUUCCUGGAGUGCCUUAUACCCUCCAGCUGGAAGCUUCCUUUGCAAGGCACAACCCAACCCUGGGUUUGCAGAAGCUCCUGACUGGCAUCAGCUCUAAACACCUUCCUCCUCAUACAUCAGACGGCUCGCUGAUCCCAGAAUUCUGAGCAAAUACAGUUCCACGUUCUCUUGCGAGCCUUCCCCAAUGCAGAGAAGCUAUCUGACACCAUGGAAAGAGCUCAGUUCAUACGUCUGGUGAAUACUUGGGCAACACUCUGACUCUCUCUAGACUUCAUUCCCCUUGGCUUUAACCUGGGAGGUGACACAGAUGAGAGGAGACACGUGAUCAGAGCCAAGUCCCACCUGUGUUUAAACUCAACUCGGUAGAUAAGCUCCUGAUGGACAGGUCAGAGAGGUGACAGUACAAGGGAGGCAGACGGAGUGCAGCAGGACAGGAGAGAGCCUUUCAGGAGCACGCUGCCUAGUAUCCACCCGCCGGGCUUCAGGCGGGCUGGGCCGCUCCCACGGUGCAGCCCCACCUGGACUCUGAAGUCCUGACCUCCCAUGCUCACCUCGCCACCUCCCACUCUUCCAGCCCUCCGCCACCUACUAAGUCUGCUCCUCCAGCUUGUCAAGGACGCUCAUUUCAUCUUUCUUUUCUAUAAUGAGAAAUUUCAAAACUACAGAACAGUGUAGAGAGCAAAAUAGCACACAUCCAUUUACCACCUGCUCGGUAGUGAUAAUUUUAACGAAGUUUGCUUCCAAUUUUUUUUUAAAGGCAUGAAAGCCUACAGGUAUAAUUGAAGUCCCAUGUGUUUGCCUUCUCAGUUCCUUUUCCCUUCCUAAGCUUAAUUAACUCUUUCCCUGCUAGAGGAAAGCACCAUCUCGACUUUGCUGUGUCCACGGUUUUAUUCUUCCCACACAUGUGUUCACCCAUAAAUAAUAGAUAACACCAUUCUACGUGUUUCAAAGAUUACAGACAUGAUCCAAAGCUACGUACAAACUCAAUGCAAUCCCUAUUAAAAUUCUAAGAGCAUUCUCCACAGAAAUGGAAAAGCUGAUCCUCAGAUGCAUAUGGCAUUGCAAGGGACCUCCAAUAGUCAAAACAAUCCUGAAAAAGAAGAAUUAGGUUGAGGACCCCACACUUUCUGAUUUCAAAACUUACUACAAAACUACAGUAAUUAAAACAUACUGGCCUAAGGAUGAUCAUAUAGACCAAUGGAAUAUAAUAGAGAGCCCAGAAAUAAACCCUCCCAUGUAUGGUCAGUUGAUUUUUGAUAAGGGUGCCAAGAUCGUUCAGUGGAGAAAGGACAGUCUUUCUAACAAAUGAUGCUGGGAAAACUGGAUAUCCCCAUGCCGAAGAAGUUGGACCUCUUACCUAACACUAUACACAAAAAGUAACUCAAUAUGGAUCAAAGACACAAACUUAAGAGCUAAAACUUUAAAAUUCUUCUAAGAAAACAUAGGGGAAAAUCUUCUUGACAUUGAAUUUUGCAACAAUGUCAUGGAUUUGACACCAAAAGUGCAGGUAACGAAAGGAAAAAUAAACUCAACUCCAUUGAAAUUUAGUCGAAGUUUUUAAAUUUGCUGGCAUAAAGUUUUUUGAUAAUAAUCUCUUUUUAUCUUCUUACAUCUGCAGGAUCUUUUUUGUUGCUCAUAUUGGUGACUUAUUUUGUUUUUCUUUUAUCUGGGAGUUUAUCAAUUUCAUCAUUUUUUUAAUAACCAAACUUUUUGCUUUGUUGAUCUUCUCUGUUGUAUAUCUGCUUUGUAUUUCAUUGAUUUGGAUUCCUAUUUUUAUUAUUUCCUUCUUUCUUUUUUCCUUGGGUUUAAGUUGCUGUUCAAAUUUAGAUAACUGUCUUUAAACUAUUUUCUCGUGUAACGUAUGCAUUUAAAGGUAUAAAUUUCUUUCUAAUCACUGCUUUGCCUAUUUGCCUCAGGCAUUUGUAUGCAGUAUUUUGAUUUUCAUUCUGUUCAAAGUAUUUUCUAUUCUCCUGUGUGGUUUCUUCCUUGAGCCACGGGUUAUUUACAAGUGUUCUGUUUCACAUCCAAACGUUUGGGGUUUCUAAGAAUCUUUCUCUUGUUCAUUUCUAGUUUAAUUCCACUUUGGUCAGAGAUCACACCCGGCAUGAUUUCACCUUUGGAAGUUUGUUAAGACUUGCUUUAUGGCCCAGCACAUGUUCUAUUUUGGUAACUAUGCCCUCGAAAAGGAAGUGUGUUCGCCCCUUGCGGGGUGCAGCCCUCUGUAACUGUUUAUUAAGUCAAGUUGAUUCAUUCUGCUGUUCAUAUUUUCUAUAUACUUUUACAUCUUUCAUCUCCUUUUUCUAUCAGUUGCUGAGAGAUUUGUUAAAAAUCUCCAGCUAUGACUACAGACUUGCCUAUUUGUCUCUUUUAUUCUGGAAAUACUCUAUUUCGUGUAUUGUGUAGCUCUGUUAUUAGGUGCAUACACAUUUACGAUUGUUACAUCUUCCGUUGAAUUAACCCUUUCAUCAUUAUGAAACGUCGCUCUUUACUUCCCUUACUACCACUUCUGGCUCUAAGGUCUAUUUUGUUUGAUAUCAAUAGAGCCACACCUUUUAUUUGGUGAGUAUUUGCAUGAUAUAACUUUUAUCAUCUUUUUAUUUUUUACCUUUCUAUGUCCUAUAUUUAAAGCGUAUUUUCUAAAUACCUAAUAGCUUUAGAACCAAACUGUUCAGGGCGGGUAGAGAAAGAAAGGGAAUGGAAAUAGAAGCAUGAAUUGCCCUUAUUUUUGAAGAAAAUUUAUGCUGGCUACACAACUUUUCUUUCUGCAAAGAUGCCAUCCCAUCGUCUUCUGGUUUCAUAGUUACAGUUGACAAAUCAGCCACAACUCAUCGUUGCUACUUUGAAUGUCACGUGUUUUAUCUUUCCGGCUGCUUGUCUUAUUUUCAGUUUGACGAUGAUGUGCCUAUGUGUGAUUUUCUUUGUAUUUCUUUUCCUUGGGAUUGACUGAGCUUUGCGAAUCCGUGAGUUGAUGUCUUUAUCUGAUUUUGAAAAUUCUUGUCCUUUAGCUCUUCAGAUUUCACUUGCCAUAUUCUCUUUCCCUCCUCUGUUUCUGGGAAUCCAGUGAUAUGUAUGUUAGACCUCUGACUGUGUUCCAUUAUCUGUCUUAUACUCUGAUCUGUUAUUUUAAUUGUUUUCUCUCUCUGUGCUUCAGUUUGAGUAUUUUCUAUAUACCUGUCUUUCAGCUCACUAAUCCUAUCAUCUCCUGUGUUUAGGUUGCCAUUAAAUCCACUCAAUGAAUUCUUAAUCUCAGAUACCAAAUUUUUUCAGUUCUUGAAUGUCUAUUUGAAUAUUUAUAAAUUCCAAUUCUCUGUAGAAAUUCUCCAUCUUUUCAUUCAUUUUGUCCAUCUUUUUCUACAUAUUCUUUUUGUAUUCUAUUAUACUAGUUAUUUUUAAAUCCUUGUCUGAUAACUCCAAUAGCUAAGUUAUCUGUGUUGUGAUGGUAGGUUGAACACCUCCAGCCAAAAUUUGGUUCAAACGUCAAGAUUGAUGACAUCACACACCAAGAGAAGAUGAAAAGAUUUAUUAUUUACAUAUGAAGAUUUCUGGGGAGAGCCUGGAAACUUCCCAAGGAGGUCUAAAAAUGGGUUAAGAGAGCAGAGAAAGGAGACUGGCUUUGGGGUCAUUAGAGGGCAGUGUUAAAAUUAAUAAAGGAAAUCUCAAAUAAAAUUGGAGUCAGGAAGGCCUGUAGAGGGAGCUCUCAUGUCCUACCACUCAAUUACCCCAAACAGGAAGAUGUCAAUUACAGACCCCAACAGGAAGAAGCAUCAGUUACCAACCUCAAGAGGAAGAGAUGUGCCUUACAAUCCCAAACAGGAAGUGCAACUACUUUACUACUCCAGUAAGGGGAAGACUUCCUUCUUGCCCAGCAAUAAGCACAACCAAUGGAAAACACUGCAGCCCAGUCAAUGAGAAUCUGUUGUCACUUGAACUAUCUCUCUAUUGCCAGAUGAAAUGCUACCUGAUUCAUGAAUUAUUUAAUAAAGUCAAUUCAAUCUUCGAAUUUGCUCAGUUGAAUUUUGUUUUUUAACAGUGGGGCUGGGGGUAAGAGUUCCCAUGUGUAGACCAGGGCUUGCAAGAUUUGACCUUCCUGCUAAUGCUAAUGAAGGGAGUACCUGGGCUUAUUUAUGAGCUGGACAGAUCUAAGACAGAAGGG